UACGUAGGCAGCGAGCGUUGUUCGGAGUUACUGGGCGUAAAGGGUGUGUAGGCGGUUGAUUAAGUUUGGUGUGAAAUCUCCCGGCUCAACUGGGAGGGUGCGCCGAAUACUGAAUGACUUGGAGUGCGGGAGAGGUGAGUGGAAUUCCUGGUGUAGCGGUGAAAUGCGUAGAUAUCAGGAGGAACACCGGUGGUGUAGACGGCUCACUGGACCGUAACUGACGCUGAGACACGAAAGCGUGGGUAGCAAACAGG
RNAcentral lists this ribosomal RNA (254 nucleotides) under uncultured bacterium. RNAcentral describes it as "partial 16S ribosomal RNA". It matches the Rfam family "Bacterial small subunit ribosomal RNA", at positions 524 to 776 of the family's 1533-position model. The record is from RNAcentral.